This 27-nucleotide small RNA is filed under the name Bombyx mori (domestic silkworm). Its description in RNAcentral is "ovarian small RNA-8615". Lineage: Eukaryota; Metazoa; Arthropoda; Insecta; Lepidoptera; Bombycidae. The record is from RNAcentral.
UGCUCACUUACAAAAUACUAAGUUGCC